UUGAAGAGUUAUGAUUGGCUGAUGAUGCAGGUGGGAUGGCAGAAGCAAGGACAGUACAAUAUAUGGAAUGUUGUUGGACAGCAUUCUCGGAAACAGAUCGGUAACAAGCCACAGUAGCUGAAAUCAGGAUAUUAAAAAAAACACGACUUCUACGGGGAAUCACAUAACCUACCGCCUGCGAUUAACACAUAUGCGUAAAUUCAGGACGUCAACGUAAGAACAAUCGCGUAUUAUUUCCUUGUGAAUCUGUCACGACUUCUUUCCUGCUACUAAACCAUUGGCUAGUUCUCCCCUCCUCCAUUAAGUAGUUCUGGUGGAAAGAUGUAUAUAUACUGGAAGGGCUAUUUACCUAUCAGUUUGUAACUGUCAAGUCCAUUGUCAAGAUCAACUGACAAGAGCAGAAUUACCAUGGCCAAAUAUUCGGUGCUGUUGGUGAUUCUCGUAUCAGCUCUCUGCUAUGUUAUGGCCAACCCACUGCCUGAUCCGGACCAUUAUCACAAUCCUAACGACGGUCAUGGCCAUCCUGUUCCUAAAGGACGCCGUUAAACUUACGUCUUUAGCCACAUUCAUCAGUGUAACAGAGAAUAUUUGAAUAAUGAAUCUAAGACUAUGAAAUUAUAUGUUAAUAUCAGUAUACGUCUAGACGUUUAUAUAAGUCACUGUCUGGAGGAUAUUUGCAUACACAAUAUUAUACUAUGUACUACAGAUUUUCCAAUGUUAGUUUAACGUUAAUAUCUUAUCAAGUGACUCUGCUCUGAUCUGAGUCAGUAUUUUUCUUAUACAGAAUUUUUCAGACUGAAAAAUGCAAGGUCUAACAGGUUUCAAUAGUUUUGGUUCCGAUGUGCUUCUGUUACAUUCAUUCCAUCAAUUCAAAGAGCGUGGAAAGCAUUUCAAAGGAUUCAUAUUUCUCCUUCAUCAAGGUUUAAGUCACCGUGACUAAGGAUUUGCUUCACAUAGCAAAGUCCAUUCUGCUGGAACAGGAAAACUCUUGAAAUUCGCUAUCAUAAGACACGUCACACAACUGUCUGUAAUCAGAUCCUCACUAACUCCUUGAUCAGGAAUUGCUGUGUUUUUGCUGAGGAAUAUAAUAAUAUAUAAAAUAAUAUAUAAUAUAAGUCUGAUUCUGUUUAAAAAGUAUAUUAUUUUUUUGUAUAUUAUAGUAUUUUCUAAAGUAAAUAUUAAGGAUACGAAAUAACUAUUUUGAAGAGUUAUAUUUUCUGGGAUAUAACGCCGUGUAUUCCGUUAAAAGUCAACGUACGUUUCGGAGGAACAUUUCUCCUCCAUUUUCAGAGCUGUAGAAGAAGCCAGGCAAGAAACCAGCGUGAAGCCGGCAUCAUGCAAAAGCAAAGCCUUGCAUAUAUAUUUUUCAAGGACUAUCAGUGUUUCGUUGUUGAAUUUCUUAGUGAAAUCAAUUUAAUUGUAAACCCAGUAUCAUAUUUAAUGUUAAUGUAAGCAAUGAAUAAUAAAGCACAAUUAUGUUAAAUAUA
Cryptotermes secundus is the source of this 1487-nucleotide long non-coding RNA. RefSeq lists it as uncharacterized. The transcript is spliced from 2 exons. Lineage: Eukaryota; Metazoa; Arthropoda; Insecta; Blattodea; Kalotermitidae. The record is from RefSeq and is a predicted model, not a curated record.